AUGGCCGGGAUGUGCCGGGGAUCUGGGGAUGGGCUGCGGGCGGCCGUGACCCUGCUGGAGUCCGGGGGGGACCUCCAGCCCCCCGGGGGGUCCCUGCGCCUCCUCUGCCGCGCCUCCGGCUUCGAUUUCGGGGGUUUUGGGAUGGGCUGGAUGCGCCAGAGACCCGGGCAGGGGCUGGAAGCCAUUGCAGCAAUCAGUAAGAUUGGCAACACCACCUACGCUAAUUCAGUCAAGGGCCGGGUCAGGAUCUCCAGGGACAACGGGCAGAGCUCGGUGACGCUGACCAUGAGCAGCCUCAGGGACGAGGAUUCCGGAUCCUAUUUCUGCGCCAAAGGGGCUGGUCUUAAUGCUUACGCUGCUGAUAUUUGUCGUCCCAGCCCCGCCCCGAGGCACAGCCCCGACCCCAAUCUGCCCCACCGGCCUCACAUCGGGGCUCUGGGCCCAAAGUUUGAAUGCCUGAGCCCCGACCUCAACCUGGGCCCCAAAUCCUGA
This is a non-coding RNA of Motacilla alba alba, 492 nucleotides long. Lineage: Eukaryota; Metazoa; Chordata; Aves; Passeriformes; Motacillidae. The record is from the annotation of a RefSeq genome assembly.